This 75-nucleotide transfer RNA is filed under the name Candidatus Aenigmatarchaeota archaeon. Its description in RNAcentral is "tRNA-Pro". It matches the Rfam family "tRNA". Rfam says of the family: Transfer RNA (tRNA) molecules are approximately 80 nucleotides in length. The record is from RNAcentral. Lineage: Archaea; Nanobdellati; Candidatus Aenigmatarchaeota.
GGGGCCGUAGUGUAGUUUGGUCUAUCACUCGAGACUGGGGGUCUCGUAACCGGAGUUCAAAUCUUCGCGGCCCCA